This is a long non-coding RNA of Nerophis lumbriciformis (worm pipefish), 1249 nucleotides long. RefSeq lists it as uncharacterized. The record is from RefSeq and is a predicted model, not a curated record. NCBI's taxonomy places the organism in Eukaryota, Metazoa, Chordata, Actinopteri, Syngnathiformes, Syngnathidae.
GAAAGCGAGGAGGUGAGGAAGGAGAAUGGUUUCCUCUGUGCGUGGAUCACAGCAUCACUUGACAAAGGGUCCAAGUUGGGGCUACGUAACCCCGAGCGACCUCCUGAAUGUCUUCUUCUCCUUCCUGUUCCUUUCUCCCGUGCGUCCAAAGACUUGCUUCUCCGCAUCUGCUUGGAGCGGCGCCCCCUCUGCCUGGUAGAGUUUACUGCAGCCAUACCCUGCUCCCGGGGGUGACGCAGGUGGGAGGGGGAGGUAAUUCUGUGUUUACGGCCUGGGGAAUGAAUAAAGGGCAAAACAUUUUAAGUAAGAAAGUAUCACAGUGUAACAGACUCAUAUUUGAAAAAUGUGCAAUUUGAUGUGAAAGUGUGCAAUUAGUGUUUUAAUGCUUUGUCAUUGAGAUGCUUCGCUCAGCUUCUUUUAAUGUAUUCAUGUAUGCAACUCUACAUAAUCCAUACCUGAGCACACCCCUUACAAUGCAACAACAUGUUUGUUACAGUACAUGUUCUCAAGGGAAGACAGUAUAUAAAUUAGAGUAGUCAGUGUACAGCUCGUAUAGCAGUAUAGAUUCACUAUCUACUGAAAAUAACCCAACAAAGCCAUUAACAUUUAAAUAGUUAAAUAGUGAUUGUGUCACGGUCAGGGCGCAUUCCAGUGCGCAUUCAUCUGUGUGCUGCGCUGAGCGCACCUCCAAGCGCACACCUGCGCGCGCCACUCCGGCUGCAGCAGGCGGCUGCAUUCAUUCUGCAGUCAAUCAGCACUCUACACACCUGUCACUGAUGAGCUCCCUGGGCUUCUUAAGCCAGUGCAAACCUGUGUUCCGGGCCAGAACGUAGUUUCCUGUUCCGUACAGUAAGCCAAUUUGUGUCAAGCUCUAUGCUCUCGCUCUCUCUGUUUUCUCCUCCUCCGUGUUUCAUUUGUCUCGUGUUCCAGUUUCGUUCCAGCAGCAUUCCUCUGUUCCCUGACGACGAGCUGUGUGUCUCGUCUCCCCGUAUUCCCUCUGGUUCCCCUGGCUGCCUCUUUGCAUCUCGACCUCCAGCCUGGACACGGACUUUGACUCCUCCCUCUUGCCCCAGACCUCCUGCCUGUCUCUGGAUCUCCAAGCUUGCCUUUCCCCCUUGGACUUCCGCCUCUUGCUCAACACUCCUGGUUGCCUACAGUCAAGCAUGGUGGUGGUAGUAUCAUGGGUGUUGGGAACCCGCAUGGCUGCGGUAUUUGUGACCCCAAGAUGCAGGAACCAGGAGAACAACGA